AUGGCCGUGUACACCAAGAUCUUCCUCAAGUUCCCUAGGAGGUUCUGGCCAGAGGCGCCUGGCAAGGAAUUCUUCCUCUAUGCUAGUGAUAGGCGAGGGUACUAUCCGGUAUGGCAACAGUUCAAGAAGGAGUACCCAGGGUCAGACGUGUUGCUCGUGACAGUUAGCGACGACGAGUCGAGGAGGAUCGAGCAACAAUCAGACAACCAGACCAUGGCGGAGGCGAUGGAGGUGCUGAGGAAGAUGUUCCCUGGGAAAGAUGUGCGGGACGCCACCGAGAUCCUCGUGCGGAGGUGGUGGUCCAACAGGUUCUUCAAAGGCACCUUCUCCAACUGGCCUAGCGUUAACCGUUACGAAUACGACCUCAUUCGGGCUCCCGUUGGGAGGGUUUACUUCACUGGUGAGCACACGAGCGAAAAGUACAAUGGCUAUGUCCAUGGAGCGUAUCUUGCAGGUAUUGACUCUGCUGACAUUUUGAUCAACUGUGUCAAGAAAAAUAUGUGCACUUACAAUGUCAAGGGAAAGCAUGACUAA
RNAcentral lists this ribosomal RNA (534 nucleotides) under Triticum aestivum (bread wheat). RNAcentral describes it as "partial small subunit ribosomal RNA". Lineage: Eukaryota; Viridiplantae; Streptophyta; Magnoliopsida; Poales; Poaceae. The record is from RNAcentral.